This 436-nucleotide ribosomal RNA is filed under the name Dolosigranulum pigrum. RNAcentral describes it as "bacterial LSU rRNA". It matches the Rfam family "Bacterial large subunit ribosomal RNA", at positions 15 to 452 of the family's 2925-position model. Lineage: Bacteria; Bacillati; Bacillota; Bacilli; Lactobacillales; Carnobacteriaceae. The record is from RNAcentral.
GGGCGUACGGUGAAUGCCUUGGUACUAGGAGCCGAUGAAGGACGGGACGAACACCGAUAUGCUCCGGGGAACUGUAAGUAAGUUUUGAUCCGGAGAUUUCCGAAUGGGGCAACCCACCAUAUUGAGAAGUAUGGUAUACACUAAGUGAAUACAUAGCUUAGUGUAAGGGACACGCGGUGAACUGAAACAUCUCAGUAGCUGCAGGAAGAGAAAACAAAUGUGAUUCCCAUAGUAGCGGCGAGCGAAAUGGGAAGAGGCCAAACGAUCAUGCUUGCAUGAUCGGGUUGUAGGACUCAAAAAUGGACGAUUGUUGUUAGUUGAACACGUUGGAGAGCGUGGCCAAAGAAGGUGACAGCCCUGUAGGCGAAAACAACAUGAACCAAUGAGGAUCCUGAGUACGGCGGAACACGAGAAAUUCCGUCGGAAUCAGCCGGGA